Molecule: ribosomal RNA, 1049 nt
Filed under: uncultured bacterium
Lineage: Bacteria
Description: bacterial SSU rRNA
Rfam family: Bacterial small subunit ribosomal RNA
Source: RNAcentral
UUUCCCAGGGAUGAUAAUGACAGUACCUGGUAAAGAAACCCCGGCUAACUCCGUGCCAGCAGCCGCGGUAAUACGGAGGGGGUUAGCGUUGUUCGGAAUUACUGGGCGUAAAGCGUACGUAGGCGGAUCAGAAAGUAAGGGGUGAAAUCCCAGGGCUCAACCCUGGAACUGCCUCUUAAACUCCUGGUCUUGAGUUCGAGAGAGGUGAGUGGAAUUCCAAGUGUAGAGGUGAAAUUCGUAGAUAUUUGGAGGAACACCAGUGGCGAAGGCGGCUCACUGGCUCGAUACUGACGCUGAGGUACGAAAGUGUGGGGAGCAAACAGGAUUAGAUACCCUGGUAGUCCACACCGUAAACGAUGAAUGCCAGUCGUCGGGCAGUAUACUGUUCGGUGACACACCUAACGGAUUAAGCAUUCCGCCUGGGGAGUACGGUCGCAAGAUUAAAACUCAAAGGAAUUGACGGGGGCCCGCACAAGCGGUGGAGCAUGUGGUAUGUCAAGGGUUGGUAAGGUUCUGCGCGUUGCUUCGAAUUAACCUGUGCUAACCCGAGAGAUCGGGCGUUCACUUCGGUGACGCAGUGACAGGUGCUGCAUGGCUGUCGUCAGCUCGUGUCGUGAGAUGUUCGGUUAAGUCCGGCAACGAGCGCAACCCACAUCCUUAGUUGCCAGCAGUUCGGCUGGGCACUCUAAGGAAACUGCCCGUGAUAAGCGGGAGGAAGGUGUGGAUGACGUCAAGUCCUCAUGGCCCUUACGGGUUGGGCUACACACGUGCUACAAUGGCAGUGACAAUGGGUUAAUCCCCAAAAGCUGUCUCAGUUCGGAUUGGGGUCUGCAACUCGACCCCAUGAAGUCGGAAUCGCUAGUAAUCGUGGAACAGCAUGCCACGGUGAAUACGUUCCCGGGCCUUGUACACACCGCCCGUCACACCAUGGGAGUUGGUUCUACCCGACGGCCGUGCGCCAACCUUUCGAGGAGGCAGCGGACCACGGUAGGAUCAGCGACUGGGGUGAAGUCGUAACAAGGUAACCAUGCUUACGAUCCUAAGACCUU